This is a non-coding RNA of Gasterosteus aculeatus aculeatus (three-spined stickleback), 1026 nucleotides long. Lineage: Eukaryota; Metazoa; Chordata; Actinopteri; Perciformes; Gasterosteidae. The record is from RefSeq and is a predicted model, not a curated record.
ACAAGUGAAACAAGCACAGGCGGUAACUAGUUCUGGAUUCUCCCUGAGGUGUAAGAUGUCACGCACCAGUCUGCGGACAUUAUGCUGUUUUACAUUUAUCUGCAUCUUUUGCCAAAGUCAAGACGUGUUUCCUUGUGAUGUUGAGGUGCUGGUCCCAAGAGGCACAACGGUGAAAACUGUCCCCCAGCGACCCGUGACGGUCCGGUGUCCUGUCCAACACUGUGGGGAAUCAGUAAAUGUCACCUGGUGUAAAGUGCUCAACACAAACAAAUGUGAACCCGUUAGUUUCAAAAGAAACUCAGAAAUAAGACAGAGUGACGAGCGUGUUGAGGAAAAACUCAUCUCAUGUUUGACUUUCACACGGAUUUCCAUUCAUGACAGCGGCUUGUAUAGAUGUACUGUAGAAGGCUACGAGUAUGAGUCGAUCAGUCACGCCAUCAACAUCUCAGUGUCAGAUUCAAACCAAGGGGAAAUUAUCUCUGACCAUGAUGCAGACGAGCCACGCGGCCCAGCUGAUGAUGAAGAUGUGCCUUCGCUGUCCUACGUCUUCAUCUGUGUCACCAUCGCUGCUCCGCUUGUCACACUGACGGCGUUAUGGCUCCUGGCAUUAGUUUUAAAUCUUCUGGAAAAGACACCCGUGAACCUCACAGAGGGAAACGCGAUGCAGUAACAUUUGUGGCUGCUCGAGGAAAACCACAGAAAGAACAUUUUUUUUAAUUUUAAACUGGAGAAUGGUAUCGAUCUUGCAGACGUGCCGCACUUUACUUUUAUCAACGCUUUAAAGCCAUCUACAAAGAGAAAAGUCCACUCACAUGAUACCCGGCCUGCCCGCUGAGACCCGUGCGCCGUGUUACACCUACUCUCAAAGUGCUGCAGAAAGGCCACCGCGCUCCCACCACCGCCCCCCCCCGGCGACCGCUGGGAACACGGCGGACGGAAGGCAAGCCACGGCGGACCGUGUCGUUUAUGCCGUUAUCAACAACCAACAGGGCGGGAGAACUAAAUAAAAACGCUGCAUGAAGCUGC